GGCCCGUUGGUCAAGCGGUUAAGACACCGCCCUUUCACGGCGGUAACACGGGUUCGAGUCCCGUACGGGUCAC
RNAcentral lists this transfer RNA (73 nucleotides) under Jeotgalicoccus halotolerans. Its description in RNAcentral is "tRNA-Glu". It matches the Rfam family "tRNA". From Rfam's summary of the family: Transfer RNA (tRNA) molecules are approximately 80 nucleotides in length. The record is from RNAcentral. Lineage: Bacteria; Bacillati; Bacillota; Bacilli; Caryophanales; Staphylococcaceae. RNAcentral also lists the same sequence under 8 other names.